CGCUCUUUGUAAUAAAAUAAAUAAAGAGUCGUGCCUGCCCAGUGAAUUUUUAACGGCCGCAGUACCCUGACUGUGCUAAGGUAGCAUAAUCACUUGUUUUUUAAUUGAAAGCUAGUAUGAACGGCUUGACGUAGGUAAACCUGUCUCUUUUAUACUAAUUAGAAAUUAAUCUUUAAGUGAAAAAGCUUAAAUAUCCUCAAAAGACGAAAAGACCCUAUCGAGCUUAAAAAAUAUAGUUAAUUAAAUUUAUAGUAAAAUUAUUUUAAUUUAUUUUUUUUUGUUGGGGCGACAAAAGAACAUAUAAAGCUUCUUUUAAUUCUAUAAAUUUUUAAAUUUCUAGAGCCAUAAGUUAUGAUUAAAAGAAAAAGCUACCGUAGGGAUAACAGCGUUAUUUUUUUAAAGAGUUCUUAUCGAAGAAAAAGUUUGCGACCUCGAUGUUGGAUUAAAGUAACUUCUAAGUGCAGCAGCCUAGAAAGUGGGUCUGUUCGACCCUUAAACCUUU
This 502-nucleotide ribosomal RNA is filed under the name Boreochiton beringensis. RNAcentral's name for it is "partial 16S ribosomal RNA". It matches the Rfam family "Bacterial large subunit ribosomal RNA", at positions 1817 to 2597 of the family's 2925-position model. The record is from RNAcentral. Lineage: Eukaryota; Metazoa; Mollusca; Polyplacophora; Chitonida; Mopaliidae.